RNAcentral lists this transfer-messenger RNA (353 nucleotides) under Lysobacteraceae. Its description in RNAcentral is "Luteimonas_D wenzhouensis Standard tmRNA". It matches the Rfam family "transfer-messenger RNA". From Rfam's summary of the family: Bacterial tmRNA, also known as 10Sa RNA or SsrA, is named for its dual tRNA and mRNA-like properties. Its role is to liberate the mRNA from a stalled ribosome. RNAcentral also lists the same sequence under 1 other name. Lineage: Bacteria; Pseudomonadati; Pseudomonadota; Gammaproteobacteria; Lysobacterales. The record is from RNAcentral.
GGGGGUGAAUUGGCUUCGACGGGGGUCGCGAAAUCACCUGGUGCAUGCCGAGGGGGCAGCUUUCCUCGUUAAUCCAGCGGCAAACUCAUAGUUGCCAACGACGACAACUACGCUCUCGCCGCUUAAGGCGUAAGCCCCGAACCCACUUGUGCCCGUGCUCGUGGAUGUAGGGUCAUCAUCACGGGAACCAGCCGCGGCGGCCGCCUGUCUGCCACGGCUGAACUCACAGGCUGGUUCCCGGGCGCGCUUCGCACGCCGUGCUGCCCGGGGACGAGAUCCAACGGCGGGCUAAGCAUGUAGGACCGGGGAUGGAGUGCCUUCGGACGGCGGUUCGACUCCGCCCACCUCCACCA